UGGAUGCAGAGGCUGGGGGCUGGUCAGCGAGGAACAAUGGUCAUUUGUGAAGGAGAGGACACUUGAGAGCUCGGUGUCUCUAUAACAGGAGGCAAAACCAUGUUCACCAAUAAGGUUUCAACCCUUUAUUUAGUGAAAUGAAGUGUUAGGGAACACAGAGGGGGUUUUUAAGAGCUUACACGUCCAUGUCCAUCAGAACCAGAGCCACGGUGUGGGAAGAGAACCACAAGACAUUUCCUCAAAUACCUGUGGCUUUGUGCACUAACUCCUCCAGUCCUCACAACGGCCCAUGAGAACGGCACUUUUGUUUUAUCAUGGCCAUUUCACAGACACGGAACCCAAAUCAGGAGGAGCAACAACAAAAACAAACAAAAAACAAACAAACAAGAACAUAGUUCGAAGGAGAAAUGACUUGGCACCUGAGUUCAAGACUGUCUUAACCCAGAUGAAGGAAUCAAAGACCAGGAACACAAGCAAUUUGGUUACAAAGAAUUACACAGAAGUGAAAUGAGAACGGAAGCAAUUUCUUCUGAACCCUAGAACCACGGGGCAGCAUUACCAUGAAGUGACCUUAGAAUCAGGCUUCAAGAAUGACCACAGAAAUGAUAAUUCCAAAGAAAAAAGUAAACAGUUCGAUUACCAAUACAAAAAUUAAUAAAUGGAAUAGCAUUAAGCAAUGCCAGAUUUCAGUGGCGAAACAGAUUCAGAAUUUAUAUAUACCCUAUGUUGUGCUCUGACCACUAAACAACAUACAGCUUCCAGAAACCACAGACUGCAUUAUAGGUGACACCGGGGUAAGGGUAUAGAGAAAAAUGAGUGCUAUUCUUUGUUUAAAUAUCAUUUUUUUUUUAUAAGGAGGGAACAGAGUGAAUUUUAUAAAUGCUGGUUUAAAAACCAUUGAUCUUUAAGAAAGGAGAGAAAAAUCAAAUGUAAAAAACAUGUACUUGUGCUGAACUGUGAAUAAGAAAACCUUCACUGAAAUGUCUAAAGACGAUAGUGCCUGAAAGGACCCGUAGUAACAUGUAAAGCAGGCAGGAUUAUAAAUGCGUAGUUCUUGAAGAACACCAACGUUACACAGACCCUCCUCCUUUGCUGCCUUCCCAGAGGAUAGUGAGAUAAAGCUUACGGAGGCCUAGCCACCAAAGGCAGAGUUUGUCUUUUCAUAUGCCAGGCUAGCAAUUGGUACACAAUCCCUAUCUUAUCACCAUCACUGAGAAUUAUAAAUCUAACUUCUGGGUAGAUUGUCCAGAUAGCUUUCUUCAUCUUUGUAUACCCAGUGGCCUAAGUAUAGCUGGCACUCUGUAGAUUUUGUGGUGUUACAAGAUCACCAGUUAGUGCAAAGAGCAAAAUCCUCUCCUCCUCCUCUCUAUCCAGAAAUUGCUAAAAUGGUUAAGUGUCAACAAGAGAAAUAUCCAUAAGCAGGGCAGGACUGUCAUGGACUGAGUCAAUGGGGACUGGUUUCUGUUGGUAGUUUGUGAAUUUCUGUCAUUUGGAGAAUUAGUGUCAGCUGAACUCACAUAAGGGCAUUCUGCAAGGGAAAGAAAGAAAUAGGUUAUGAGUUUGGCCUUCAGUUUUAAUGAUUCUAUACAUGAGAAAAUUAGACUGUCUGAUUUUUGUUGCUUUUAGAAAUGUAAUACAUACCACACGAUGUGUUCCAUUUUGUAAUACCUGAGAGGCAAGUUUUUGGAAUAGCUCUGUAGAACCCAGUUUAUUACACAGAAUUAUGGAUUUCAGAGAAUCGAUCUGAUCCUUAGUCUGAUUCUCAGUGGCAUUACAUACCAAUACAAUGGGAUAGGAUGCCCACGGGCCUGCAUUGAAAAGUCUCCAUAAGACUGUUGACUCCUCCAAACUUAUUUAUAGCUUACUGUUGACUGGAAGCCUUACCCAUAACAUAGUUUACUU
Long non-coding RNA from Acinonyx jubatus (cheetah), 1902 nucleotides. RefSeq lists it as uncharacterized. The record is from RefSeq and is a predicted model, not a curated record. The transcript is spliced from 6 exons. NCBI's taxonomy places the organism in Eukaryota, Metazoa, Chordata, Mammalia, Carnivora, Felidae.